RNAcentral lists this long non-coding RNA (1626 nucleotides) under Equus asinus (donkey). Its description in RNAcentral is "lncRNA (ENSEASG00005033989.1)". The record is from RNAcentral. Lineage: Eukaryota; Metazoa; Chordata; Mammalia; Perissodactyla; Equidae.
UAACUCAUGUGACCUCACGUGCAGCCCGCCCCGGGAGGCACGAUCACGAUCACUGCCCGCCUUCCGGCUGUGGCACUGAGGCCCAGGAAGAGGUGGACCGCCUCCGCCCUCGGGGCCGCCUGCCGCGGAGGACAGGCCGGGGAGACGCGGCCCGCAGAGCCGUGCGCUCGGCCGCCACUCAAGACGAACAGGGUCCGCCCGUGGCCGGGAGGGAGGCGCGGGCCCACGGCCCGGCGCCCGGCGCCCGCUCACCCCCGGCCGGUCCGGGGCACCCAGCGUGGGCGCUCGGGAGGCCGGCGCGCAGGCCGGCAGAGGGAGCUGAGCCCACGCGCCCCGCCCGGGCCGCGCCUCGCCCGCAACCCGCGCCGCCGCCCCAGGGACCGAGGCGCGUGCCAGGGCGGGCUGCGCAUGCGCGUGCGCACGGCGGGGCGCGGCGCGGCGUGUGCACGCGAGCCGGGGGCGGGCGGCGGCCGGGGGCGCAUGCGCACCGGGGCGCCGAGGCUGGAGGCGUGCCCGGCUCAGGAGAGCGGUGCUUUCGGUCCAGUCUGCUUCUCGCUGGCGGGCGCCCACCCUCAUGAGCUCGGUGUGACCAUCCCGUUUUUACUGAUGGUGGGAUUGAGUGAGGCGGAGCGAGGUUAGAGCGACUCGCAGCCCUGGGAAGGCCGAAGCCCCCUGACCGAGUGUGUCGCUUGCUGGUCCUGGCCUUGGAGACUCAGGCGUGCUGGGUUCCAUGCGGUGGCCUGCUCAGUGCAUCCGGCCCGGAGAGUUGGCUGGAAGCAGCGUGUGAUCUGGUUUGAGUCCCCUGAGGGUGCCGGUGAAGAUGUGUGCCACGAGCCCACACUGCCUCCACAGUGGUGGCUGCCAAAACGAACAGCUGUGAAAUGACUUGUCGGGAAGGGUGUGACAGCGUGCUGGAAGAGAUUCGGCUCCCGGCCAAAUAACUUUACCACCUGAAGUCCCGGGCGGCUGUGUCGAGGGCCCCGCUGAGGCUGCCUGAGGACCCGAGCGCGUGGCCCACAGAGCCCCGCACGGUGCUCGCUGCGGACAGCGUGCUGCCCGGUCGUUGUGUGUGCGCCUCUGGGUACAUGCACAGUGUUCCCCCUGUAUGUGCAUUUAUGUGCGUAAAAGUAUAGCUACGUGCUGAAGUUUUUAUGAGUAAAAGGAGAAAAAAGGGGCCGGCCUGGUGGCGCAGCAGUGAAGUUCGCAUGUGCCACCUGGGUGCGGACAUGACACCGCUCGGCAAGCCAUGCUCUGGCAGGCGUCCCACAUAUAAAGUAGAGGAAGAUGGGCAUGGAUGUUAGGGCAUCUUCCUCAGCAAAAAGAGGAGGAUUGGCAGCAGAUGUUAGCUCAGGGCUAAUCUUCCUCAAAAAACAAAAAAGGAGAAGAAAAAGGGCAUGAGGGGGUGGGUAGAAAAGAUGGCAGCACGCUGGUGGUAAUUGAAGCUGGAUGAUGGCCACGUGGGAGUUCCGUCUACUCUUCUCUCUGCUUCUGUGUACAUUUGAAAAUUCUAAAAUAAAAAGGUCUAAAGAUAUGUAGAGUAUUUAAACAUUUGUUUAAGCCUUUGAUCCGCUCUCUACCCUCUGCGCCCAGCCUUGCCCAGACGCUGUGCUGGGCGUCUGGACGCUG